Molecule: long non-coding RNA, 232 nt
Organism: Arachis duranensis
Lineage: Eukaryota; Viridiplantae; Streptophyta; Magnoliopsida; Fabales; Fabaceae
Exons: 3
Source: RefSeq, a predicted model, not a curated record
UGCAUGUUGAGCACUGGAAAUUUUGUGAAUCCAAAAAGAUUUUAAGACUUCAAAAGAAGUGGCUUUUUAGUUGUUGCUGUAUGUCCACCAUGGAGAGGAGAAGGAGUAUCAGAAUUAUUGCUCUAGAAGAGAAGAAAAAAGAAGAAAAAGAAAGAAAGAUGGCAUUGAUAUUGGACAGAAGAAGCAAUUCACACAACAAAGGUAAAGGAAUUAUAAUCAAUGAAGGGAAUGA